RNAcentral lists this long non-coding RNA (1292 nucleotides) under Rattus norvegicus (Norway rat). RNAcentral describes it as "long non-coding RNA NONRATT001002". The record is from RNAcentral. Lineage: Eukaryota; Metazoa; Chordata; Mammalia; Rodentia; Muridae.
GUACUGCCUGUGAGCAAAAACAGCCAAAUGAUCACAUUUACUUUUCAAAAUGGCUGUGUUGCUACUCUUCGAACAAGUGGGACAGAACCAAAGAUAAAGUAUUAUGCAGAGAUGUGCGCAUCACCUGGCCAGAGUGACACUGCCUUACUGGAAGAAGAAUUAAAGAAACUCAUUGAUGCUCUGAUAGAGAAUUUUCUUGAACCCAGUAAGAAUGGACUGAUCUGGCGUUCUGUGUAGGGCACAUCAGUACGUUAUGCCUUUGCACUGACAUAUGGAACGAAACCUCCAAGAACUCCACUCAGUGAACCUUGUGUUAGAAUUCUCUCGUCUGCCAAGUUAUCUUUCCCCUUUUCUUUCCUGUGUUCAGCCGGCUAAAUAGAUUAUAUACAUUUGAAAUGAAAAUGUUUGGAUAUGAGUCAAAUAUUUCCAAAAUCUUAAGUGACAGUCAUUACAAUGAAAGUGUUUCAGUGGCUCGCUGUUCCUCCUGUAUCACAAACAAUACAAAAGUGAGUUUUCUUAUUGAACUGUGGUUAAGCUUAGUUAUAUAUCUUGUAAUUGUGUACAGCAUGGUUGAAAGAAGUCAAACAUUACAUAACUAUAGGGUUAGUUAGGACAUUCUUUCUUAAUGGUGUGUGUGUGUGUGGAAGUAUUGUCUUGCCCAGGGUGGGAAAGUUCUGUUGUAGAUAUUGUUUUUCAAAUUAGAAACCUAGCUUGGUGACAUAUUCCUGUUACAGCCUUAGGGGGCUGAGGCAGGAGGAUCAUUAGUUUAUGGCCAGCCUGUUGCACAAUAAUGUUCUGUCUCCACAAAAAAAUAAAAAAGAAAGAAAAGAAAAAAAACUGUAUCUAGGUCAUUUAGGUUUUCUGACUAGGACAGAUGUUGCAGUCUGUGGUUGUGCACCCGUGAUGGAUGUGUCCUUGGCGUGGUGAUCAUUUACGUAUGUAUUUAAGACGAACGUUUACUGAACACAAAACAGUAGUAGCAGCACUCCGAGUGGAUUUACUCUUGUCAAAUUCCUCAGUGCAUUCUCAGGGUCAGGUGUGAACCGAAACGACGUGGAACGUAAUUCCAUCAGUCCAUUUUCAGGUAGUUAAGGAAGAUCUUCCAGACUGUAUAGGCGCUUCCUCUACAGAAAACAGAUCUGUUGACAUCUAGAGAUGGGUGUAGAAAAAGGUCUUAAUGUGGCCUAAUGUGACUGCAGCUGGGUCUUCAUGCUAGGACUUAGUUAUCAUAGCCUGUAAGUGACAAGCUCCGUCCUGUGGCACAAGCAUGGCAUUUAUUCGGCAGUCUUUUU